ACCCGGUAUGGUAUGCUGGUGGUAUUGGAAACAACUGCAAUGCUUUUUGUGGCGUAGGACAGUUAAAUCAUACGGGUUU
RNAcentral lists this small RNA (79 nucleotides) under Flavobacterium collinsii. Lineage: Bacteria; Pseudomonadati; Bacteroidota; Flavobacteriia; Flavobacteriales; Flavobacteriaceae. The record is from RNAcentral.